This 235-nucleotide unclassified non-coding RNA is filed under the name Hevea brasiliensis (rubber tree). Lineage: Eukaryota; Viridiplantae; Streptophyta; Magnoliopsida; Malpighiales; Euphorbiaceae. The record is from RNAcentral.
GUUUGUGCAAGUUAAAAAGCCUUCCACGUUACCAGAUAUCCUUCCAAACGGGCAACGUAAAAGAGUAUUAUGGCGUCGCGAAGAGGAAGAGAUGAUUGAGGAAGGAGUUCAAAAAUUCUCAUCCAAAGUAAACAAAAACACCCCAUGGAGAAAAAUUCUAGACUUUGGUCAUCAUGUGUUUGAUCAUUCUCGCACUCCAACUGAUCUCAAGGACAAAUGGAAACAAAUGUGCUCU